CAGCCGCCACGGUAAUACGUAGGUGGCAAGCGUUGUCCGGAAUUAUUGGGCGUAAAGGGCUCGCAGGCGGUUUCUUAAGUCUGAUGUGAAAGCCCCCGGCUCAACCGGGGAGGGUCAUUGGAAACUGGGAAACUUGAGUGCAGAAGAGGAGAGUGGAAUUCCACGCGUAGCGGUGAAAUGCGUAGAGAUGUGGAGGAACACCAGUGGCGAAGGCGACUCUCUGGUCUGUAACUGACGCUGAGGAGCGAAAGCGUGGGGAGCGGACAGGAUUAGAUACCCGCGUAGUCCCUGUCUCUUAUAC
Molecule: ribosomal RNA, 301 nt
Filed under: uncultured bacterium
Lineage: Bacteria
Description: partial 16S ribosomal RNA
Rfam family: Bacterial small subunit ribosomal RNA
Source: RNAcentral